RNAcentral lists this ribosomal RNA (2535 nucleotides) under Triticum aestivum (bread wheat). RNAcentral's name for it is "partial small subunit ribosomal RNA". Lineage: Eukaryota; Viridiplantae; Streptophyta; Magnoliopsida; Poales; Poaceae. The record is from RNAcentral.
AUGGAGGAAGUUGCAGGAAUGUAUUUUGAUGAACUUGUUGACAGAAGAUUCAUCCAACCUGUGUCUAUCAACUUCAACAAUGAGGUGGUGUCCUGCACAGUUCAUGACGUGGUACAUGAUCUUAUUGCACACCAGUGUGCUGAAGAGAAUUACGUUGUGGUAGUAGAUCACAAUCGAAAGAAUUUGGCACUUUCUCAUAAGGUCCGUCGACUAUCUCUUCAACUUGGUGAUGCAAAAUAUGCCAAGAUACCACCAAACAUCAUAAAGUCACAAGUACAGUCACUUGGAUAUUUUGGAGUAUCAGAGUGCAUGCCUUGCAUUGCAGAGUUCAAGCUGGUUCGUGUUCUGAACCUUCUUCUAUCUGGCCAUCAUAAUGGCGACCAAGACCUGUCCCUAGACCUCUCUAGAGUAUCAGAACUGUUCCAUCUUAGAUAUCUGAAGAUUGUAUGUGAUGUCUGUGUAAAACUUCCCAACCGUAUGAGAGGGCUGCAAUGUUUGGAAACACUGGACGUUAUGGAUACACCAAGAGGCACUUAUGUUCCAUGGGACAUUAUAUAUCUCACACGCUUGUUGCACCUCAGUCUUCCUCCUCAUACAAAUCUGCUGGAUUGGUCUGUCGGUGACGAUCUGAGCCUUUGCAAGCCAAACCACCUGCAGGAUCUUUGCAUUUCUACACCACCUUCUUCAGAAUACGACCAUCUGUACAGAAACAUGGAUGCUCUAGAUUAUUUAAUGCAUGAACAUGACAGCCUGAAAACAGUAAAACUGGUGGCUCACGGAUCCUCGGCUAGCUAUGGUGACACUUCAAAAGCAAGAGUUUUGUGGAUUUUGGAUAAACAACCCCACCAUCUCCAGAGAUUUGAGGUCUCACCGCGCAGCCCCGUCAUAUUUUGCAAAAUGUAUAAGUGGGAGGAACAACUUGGCAACCUAUGCAUUCUGAAGAUUGCAGUGGAUGGACUGUCAGUAAAUGAUGUUGAUAUUCUUGGAGGGUUGCCUGCCCUCACUGCUCUGUCGUUGUAUGUGGAGAAGUCACCUAAUGUUAAGAUAAUCUUUGGCAAGGCUGCUGGAUUCACAGCUCUCAAGUACUUGAAGCUGAGGUUCAUGAGUGGAAUAGCUUGGCUAAAAUUUGAGGCGGGCGCAAUGCCUAAUCUCUGGAAGCUCAGGCUCGUUUUCAAUUCCAUCCCCCGAAUGGACCAACGACUUGAACUUUUUUCAAAAUCUGAUCAGUGGAAACAAUAUCGGCAUGGUACUGCAUUAAUCAGCAUCGAGCAUAUGCCACGCCUUAGAGAGGUCUCCGCAAAAUUUGGGGAUGCAGCUGCUGAUCUGGAGUAUGUCUCAAGGAUCGGUGUAGUUAGUAAUCAUCCGGGCAAUCCUAUAAUUGACGUGCAACUAGUGGAUUCUGGUUCCCAUGGUGAUAAAAGGAUAUCAUCAAGGUCACUGGAGUCCAUUUCCUGCCCGCUGCAUGCUCCAGGGGCGGGAGCUGGUGGAGAGGUGUCAUGGAGCAAUAUGAUUGGUGUGAUAGGUCGUGACCUCUUCAUGUAUUGCCUCCACCGCCUCUCCAGGUGGGAAUAUGGCGCCAUCGCCUCCCUCAACCGUGAUUUCAAUUCCGUGGUUCGCAACGGCGACAUCUACCGCCUGCGUCGCAAGAAUGGGGUGGCGGAGCACUGGCUCUACCUCUCUUGCGGUAAUUAUCCUCCGGAGUGGGAUGCUUAUGACCCGUCCACUGGGCGCUGGAUCCAAGUGCCCAAGAUGCCACCGGCUGAAAGCGAAUUCAUCUGGGAGUCGGUCGCUGUUGGAACCGAGCUGCUGGUGUUUGUGGACGGAAGGGCUGCCUUGAGAUAUAGCAUCCUUACCAAUUCAUGGACAUGGCUGGCUGAUGCGAUGAACACCCCGCGGUACUUGUUUGGGUCAGCAAGUGCCGGUGAGAAGGCGUAUGUCGCGGGAGGCAAGGAUUCUUCUCGUAAUAAUGUAUUGAGGUCUGCAGAGAUGUAUGACUCGGAGACACAUACUUGGACACCCCUUCCCAGCAUGAAUAGGGCUAGGUACAAAUGCUCUGGCGCGUUCAUGGAUGGCAAGUUCUAUGUGAUCGGUGGUCUUAGCAGUAGCCACGAGGUAUUGACGUGCGGUGAGGAGUAUGACUUGGAGCGGAGGUCAUGGAGGCUCAUCGACAACAUGUCUCAGGGGCUCAACCUUCAAGAAUGGGGUGCUCCUCUGCUCCUUGCAGUUGUGAAGAAUGAGCUUUAUGGCGCUGAUUACAGUGAGAAUAAUGAAUUGAAGAAGUAUGAUAAGCUGGACAACAAGUGGGCCACUCUUGGAAAAUUACCUGUACAGUCUAAGAACAAUUUGGGCUCCGACAUCCGUUUCCGAGCGUGUGGUGACCGGAUGAUUGUUAUUGGGCCUCCAAACAAGUCUAUUGAUGAAGAGGUGGUUGAGCUUCAUUCAUGGACCCCGGAUGGGCAACCGCCUGUGUGGAAUUUGUUUGCCACGCGCCCAUACGGGGGCUUAGGUAUUCUAUGCGCCGUGAUGGGUUGCUGA